UUUUCAGGCGUAGAAAACAGUGACAUGAAACGAUCGCGUGAUCCGCUUAACAAGAAGUUACCGCGCCAUCUUGUGACGAAAUGCACAACUAAUCAGCCGAUAACAACGGAUCCCAAUUAUAUCCCAAGUAAGUAAUAAAUAUAAAUGAUAACAAAAUUAAGACUUAACAACUUAUUGCACAAUUU
This is a long non-coding RNA of Papilio machaon (common yellow swallowtail), 185 nucleotides long. RefSeq lists it as uncharacterized. The transcript is spliced from 3 exons. The record is from RefSeq and is a predicted model, not a curated record. NCBI's taxonomy places the organism in Eukaryota, Metazoa, Arthropoda, Insecta, Lepidoptera, Papilionidae.